Hemiscyllium ocellatum (epaulette shark) is the source of this 2247-nucleotide non-coding RNA. NCBI's taxonomy places the organism in Eukaryota, Metazoa, Chordata, Chondrichthyes, Orectolobiformes, Hemiscylliidae. The record is from the annotation of a RefSeq genome assembly.
AUGAAUAUUUUCUUGUUUUCAUGCCUUUUAGCCUGGUUACCAAAUGUCUUUACUGUAUGGGUUGAACAAACACCGAGAACGGCAACAAAGGAGACAGGCGAAUCACUGACCAUCAAUUGCGUCCUAAAAGAUACCAGCUGUGCAUUAUAUAGCACGGGCUGGUAUUUCACAAAAAAGGGCACAUCAACAAAGAAGAGCUUAUCAACUAGUGGACGAUACUUGGAAACAGUGAACAAGGAAUCAAAGUCCUUUUCUUUGCGAAUUAGUGACCUAAGAGUUGAAGACAGUGGUUCAUAUCAGUGUGAAGCAUAUAGUUAUCACACUGAUUAUUAUGUGACUCUGAUGGACUGUGACUACUACUACGGAAGCGGCACCAUUCUGACUGUGAAACCUGGCAUACAGCCUUCUCCACCAGUCAUCAGUCUACACUACUCUGCAACUGAAGAACAGAGGGCAAACGGAUUUCUUCAGCUGAUUUGUCUCAUCACCGGGUACUAUCCUGAAAGAAUUGCAUUGACCUGGCAGAAGAACGGAAAUACCAUAAGUUCUGGCGUUACAACUACGUCUCCAACGAAAACAGCGACCAAUGAUUUUAGCUCUACAAGUUUGCUGAAAGUGCCACUGCAGGAAUGGAACAGCGGCUUUGUGUACAGUUGUCAAGUUUCUCAUUCUGCUUCCAAUAGUAACCAGAGAAAAGAAAUUAGUUCAACAUCGGAGAUAGCUGUAUUAUUGAGGGAUCCAUUGGUUGAAGAAAUCUGGAUCAAUAAAAGUGCCAUUCUGGUUUGUGAAGUGCUUUCUACAGUUUCCAGUGGGGUAGUUAUCUCUUGGAUGGUGGAUGGAAAGGUGCGGAAUGAAGGCGUUCAAAUUGAAGCAGCGAACAGAAACCAAUAUGUGACAAUCAGCCGCUUGACGAGCACCGUGGACGAGUGGCAGAGUGGGGUGGAAUACACAUGUUCUGCAAAACAGGAUCAAUCAUCACCCGCAGUAUCAAAACGAACAAGAAUGGCAAGAGUUAAAUCAAUGAAGCCAUAUAUCCGCCUCCUGCCUCCAUCACCAGAAGAAAUUCAGAACAGCAGCUCUGCUACUCUCACAUGUUUGCUGAGAGGAUUCUAUCCUGACAAAAUAAGCGUUUUCUGGGAGAAAGAUGGAGCUUCUGUCAACGAGAACAUCACCAAUUUCCCCACUGCUCUGGAACAGGACCUGACCUACAGCGCACGUAGCCUCCUCAUUUUACCUGCAGCGGAAUGGAAGAGUGGCGCAAAAUACACCUGUACUGCCUCGCAUCCACCUUCACAGUCCACUGUGAAAAGGGUCAUCAGAAGCCCGAAAGGUGAUUGCCGUCAGACAGAUAUUGCUGUCCAUCUACUGAAACCUCCGUUCGAAGAGAUUUGGACACAAAAGACAGCGACCAUUGUGUGUGAAAUCAUUUACAGCAACUUAGAAAACAUCAACGUUUUCUGGCAGGUGAAUGGGGCUGAAAGAACAAAAGGAGUCAAGACAGAAAAUCCUGUUUGGAACGGAAGUAAAUUCACCAUUUUGAGCAAACUUAAAGUCAUUGCGUCAGAGUGGGACAGCGGUGCCGAAUAUGUUUGCUUGGUAGAAGACAGUGAAUUACCAACACCAGAGAAAGCUUCUCUCAAGAAGAAAAUUGACGACCAAAUGCGUCCGCCUCAGGUUUAUCUCCUGCAGCCAUCGACAGACGAGAUUGACGCUGAGAAUUCAGCGACCCUUAUGUGUCUCGUCACCAGCUUUUACCCAGCUGAGAUCUACAUUGGCUGGAUGGCUAAUGACACCCUUUUGGAUAGCGGGUACCGAACCCAAUUGGAUAGCCAGGCGGGGAAUGGUUCCAACUUCGUGACCAGCAGGUUGAGAGUCACAGCGGCGGAAUGGAACAAUGACAUCACUUACUCCUGCUUAGUGGGGCACCCAUCCCUCAGCCGGGAGUUAAUCAGGAGUACAAAUAAAUCUCAUGGUAUCCCUGAAAUAAAAGAUGACCCGGUAGACUAUGACAUCGAAGAAAACGAACAAGAAAAUUUCAAUGGAGAUGCCAACAGUUCAUUAUCCAUUAUGACGUUUGUCGUCCUGUUUAUUCUUAGUACGCUGUACAGCACAUUUGUAACUGUGCUUAAGGUGAACUGACCGUCACUGCUGAAAACAAUUACUUCUGAUUUCAUUGAAAGCUUGUGUGUGAAGCUCCAUCGGUUGCUGAUUAGAAAUGGCAUUGAAUUGAUUUUUGCUCUCAAUCAU